RNAcentral lists this ribosomal RNA (122 nucleotides) under uncultured Nocardioidaceae bacterium. The record is from RNAcentral. Lineage: Bacteria; Bacillati; Actinomycetota; Actinomycetes; Propionibacteriales; Nocardioidaceae.
GUUUCGGCGGCCAUGGCGAAGGGGAAACACCCAGUUCCAUUCCGAACCUGGAAGUUAAGCCCUUCAGCGCCGAUGGUACUGCACGCGGGAGCGUGUGGGAGAGUAGGACGUCGCCGGACAAC